RNAcentral lists this ribosomal RNA (118 nucleotides) under uncultured bacterium. RNAcentral describes it as "partial 16S ribosomal RNA". The record is from RNAcentral.
CAGAUGGUAUUAACAUCCAUCAGAUUCUUCCCACUUGACAGAGCUUUACGACCCGAAAGCCUUCAUCACUCACGCGGCGUUGCUGCGUCAGGGUUUCCCCCAUUGCGCAAAAUUCCUC